Molecule: ribosomal RNA, 505 nt
Filed under: uncultured bacterium
Lineage: Bacteria
Description: partial 16S ribosomal RNA
Rfam family: Bacterial small subunit ribosomal RNA
Source: RNAcentral
GACGAACGCUGGCGGCGUGCCUAAUACAUGCAAGUCGAACGCACAGUUUAUACCGUAGCUUGCUACACCAUAGACUGUGAGUUGCGAACGGGUGAGUAACGCGUAGGUAACCUGCCUGGUAGCGGGUGAUAACUAUUGGAAACGAUAGCUAAUACCGCAUAAUAUUAAUUAUUGCAUGUUAAUUAAUUGAAAGGUGCAAUUGCACCACUACCAGAUGGACCUGCGUUGUAUUAGCUAGUAGGUGAGGUAACGGCUCACCUAGGCGACGAUACAUAGCCGACCUGAGAGGGUGAUCGGCCACACUGGGACUGAGACACGGCCCAGACUCCUACGGGAGGCAGCAGUAGGGAAUCUUCGGCAAUGGACGAAAGUCUGACCGAGCAACGCCGCGUGAGUGAAGAAGGGUGUCGGAUCGUAAAGCUCUGUUGUAAGAGAAGAACGGGUGUGAGAGUGGAAAGUUCACACUGUGACGGUAUCUUACCAGAAAGGGACGGCUAGCUACGUG